CCCUCGGUGGUACACACGGUUAAUGCACUUGGCUGCUAGCCAAAAGGUUGCAGGUUCGAGUCCAGCCAGAGGCA
Molecule: transfer RNA, 74 nt
Filed under: Loxodonta africana (African savanna elephant)
Lineage: Eukaryota; Metazoa; Chordata; Mammalia; Proboscidea; Elephantidae
Rfam family: tRNA
About the family: Transfer RNA (tRNA) molecules are approximately 80 nucleotides in length. Their secondary structure includes four short double-helical elements and three loops (D, anti-codon, and T loops).
Source: Rfam by way of RNAcentral